This 348-nucleotide unclassified non-coding RNA is filed under the name soil metagenome. Its description in RNAcentral is "partial contains 5.8S ribosomal RNA, internal transcribed spacer 2, and large subunit ribosomal RNA". The stretch from base 1 to 120 matches the Rfam family "5.8S ribosomal RNA", at positions 35 to 154 of the family's 154-position model. The record is from RNAcentral.
GAUGAAAAACGCAGCAAAAUGCGAUAAGUAAUGUGAAUUGCAGAAUUCAGUGAAUCAUCGAAUCUUUGAACGCACAUUGCGCCCGCUGGUAUUCCGGCGGGCAUGCCUGUUCGAGCGUCAUUUCAACCCUCAAGCCCCCGGGUUUGGUGUUGGGGAUCGGCUCUGCCCUUCUGGGCGGUGCCGCCCCCGAAAUACAUUGGCGGUCUCGCUGCAGCCUCCAUUGCGUAGUAGCUAACACCUCGCAACUGGAACGCGGUGCGGCCAUGCCGUAAAACCCCAACUUCUGAAUGUUGACCUCGGAUCAGGUAGGAAUACCCGCUGAACUUAAGCAUAUCAAUAAGCGGAGGA